UACGGGAGGCAGCAGUGGGGAAUAUUGCACAAUGGGCGCAAGCCUGAUGCAGCCAUGCCGCGUGUAUGAAAAAGGCCUUCGGGUUGUAAAGUACUUUCAGUCGUGAGGAAGGUGUUAAGGUUAAUAACCUUAGCAAUUGACGUUAGCGACAGAAGAAGCACCGGCUAACUCCGUGCCAGCAGCCGCGGUAAUACGGAGGGUGCGAGCGUUAAUCGGAAUUACUGGGCGUAAAGGGCACGCAGGCGGUUAAUUAAGUUGGAUGUGAAAUCCCCGGGCUUAACCUGGGAAUGGCAUUCAAGACUGGUUAGCUAGAGUCUUGUAGAGGGGGUAGAAUUCCAUGUGUAGCGGUGAAAUGCGUAGAGAUGUGGAGGAAUACCGGUGGCGAAGGCGGGCCCCUGGACAAAGACUGACGCUCAUGUGCGAAAGCGUGGGGAGCAAACGAGGGAUUAGAUACC
This 455-nucleotide ribosomal RNA is filed under the name uncultured bacterium. RNAcentral describes it as "bacterial SSU rRNA". It matches the Rfam family "Bacterial small subunit ribosomal RNA", at positions 340 to 786 of the family's 1533-position model. The record is from RNAcentral.